This 465-nucleotide ribosomal RNA is filed under the name Vreelandella stevensii. RNAcentral describes it as "partial 16S ribosomal RNA". It matches the Rfam family "Bacterial small subunit ribosomal RNA", at positions 338 to 795 of the family's 1533-position model. The record is from RNAcentral. Lineage: Bacteria; Pseudomonadati; Pseudomonadota; Gammaproteobacteria; Oceanospirillales; Halomonadaceae.
CCUACGGGCGGCAGCAGUGGGGAAUAUUGGACAAUGGGCGAAAGCCUGAUCCAGCCAUGCCGCGUGUGUGAAGAAGGCCUUCGGGUUGUAAAGCACUUUCAGUGGGGAAGAAAGCCUUGGGGCUAAUACCCUCGAGGAAGGACAUCACCCACAGAAGAAGCACCGGCUAACUCCGUGCCAGCAGCCGCGGUAAUACGGAGGGUGCGAGCGUUAAUCGGAAUUACUGGGCGUAAAGCGCGCGUAGGCGGUCUGAUAAGCCGGUUGGGAAAGCCCCGGGCUCAACCUGGGAACGGCAUCCGGAACUGUCAGGCUAGAGUGCAGGAGAGGAAGGUAGAAUUCCCGGUGUAGCGGUGAAAUGCGUAGAGAUCGGGAGGAAUACCAGUGGCGAAGGCGGCCUUCUGGACUGACACUGACGCUGAGGUGCGAAAGCGUGGGUAGCAAACAGGAUUAGAUACCCCAGUAGUC